UACAGAGGGUGCAAGCGUUAUUCGGAAUUAUUGGGCAUAAAGCGCAUGUAGGUGGUUUGAUAAGUCUGAUGUGAAAUCCCCGGACUCAAUUCGGGAAGUGCAUUGGAUACUGUCAGGCUAGAGUAUGGGAGAGGUGAGCGGAAUUCCAGGUGUAGAGGUGAAAUUCGUAGAUAUCUGGAGGAACAACAGAGGCGAAGGCGGCUCACUGGACCAUUACUGACACUGAGAUGCGAAAGCGUGGGGAGCAAACAGG
This 253-nucleotide ribosomal RNA is filed under the name uncultured bacterium. RNAcentral describes it as "partial 16S ribosomal RNA". It matches the Rfam family "Bacterial small subunit ribosomal RNA", at positions 524 to 776 of the family's 1533-position model. The record is from RNAcentral.